Podarcis lilfordi (Lilford's wall lizard) is the source of this 193-nucleotide non-coding RNA. The record is from the annotation of a GenBank genome assembly. Lineage: Eukaryota; Metazoa; Chordata; Lepidosauria; Squamata; Lacertidae.
ACUUCCUGGUGUUGAGUCAGAAUCUGCUUUUUUUUAACUUGAAGCCAUUGGUUCGAGUCCUACCCUCCAGAGCAGGAGAAAACAAGCUUGUUCCCUCCUCCAUGGGACAGCCCUUGAGAUAUUUGAAGAGGGAUAUCCUAUCUCCUCCCAGUCUCCUCUUUUCCAGGCUAAACAUACCCAGUUCCCUCAAUCA